UCGGGAAUUUUGGGCAAUGGGGGAAACCCUGACCCAGCAACGCCGCGUGAAGGAUGAAGUAUUUCGGUAUGUAAACUUCGAAAGAAUAGGAAGAAUAAAUGACGGUACUAUUUAUAAGGUCCGGCUAACUACGUGCCAGCAGCCGCGGUAAUACGUAGGGACCAAGCGUUGUUCGGAUUUACUGGGCGUAAAGGGCGCGUAGGCGGCAUGACAAGUCACUUGUGAAAUCUCUGGGCUUAACCCAGAACGGCCAAGUGAUACUGUCGCGCUAGAGUGCAGAAGGGGCAAUCGGAAUUCUUGGUGUAGCGGUGAAAUGCGUAGAUAUCAAGAGGAACACCUGAGGUGAAGACGGGUUGCUGGGCUGGCACUGACGCUGAGGCGCGAAAGCUAGGGUAGCAAACGGGAUUAGAUACCCUGGUAGUCCCUGAGCGGGCUGGCAAGGCGCAU
This 447-nucleotide ribosomal RNA is filed under the name uncultured bacterium. RNAcentral's name for it is "bacterial SSU rRNA". It matches the Rfam family "Bacterial small subunit ribosomal RNA", at positions 355 to 825 of the family's 1533-position model. The record is from RNAcentral.